RNAcentral lists this long non-coding RNA (1656 nucleotides) under Physcomitrium patens. Its description in RNAcentral is "long non-coding RNA (PPAT_LNC004552)". Lineage: Eukaryota; Viridiplantae; Streptophyta; Bryopsida; Funariales; Funariaceae. The record is from RNAcentral.
GGACUCUCCUUUCUUCAUCCGGGUCGCAUUGUUUGUUUGUUUGUUUGUCUGUCUGUCUGUCUGUCUGUCUGUUUAGCUGUCUUUCUGUCUGUGUGAUGUAAUUAUUCCUACCACCACCUCGAGGAAGUGGUGGUGGUGGUGGUGCCAGUUUUGCAAGCAGGAGGAGGAGUGGCAAGCUUCGGCAUGCUGAAGUUGGAAACAGACAAGAGGUCCCGUGGAGGAAUGGGUGUCUCUUGUUAUACCAGCAGAGAGAGAGCUCAGUGCAAGUCCAGUAACAUGUGUAACGUGACGAGCUGGGCAACUUGACUGGCACAGUGAGUUUACUUCACACUACUUACUUUACUUACUAGCUCACGAUCCACAUCCUGCAAGCGCCGCAGAAGAAGCAGCAGCAGCAGCAGGAGGAGGACCAGGAGCACAGCACUAUGGCUACUGGAGGAGGGUCUGUUGUUGCAGGUGGUGGAAACUGGGCCCGUGCAAAACUCCUUUUUGGGCUCCAGGAGACUUAAAUUGCUCGCGCUCGCGCAUGGGUGGCCAGCUGGUCCUCCGCGCUCGCCGAACCCCCACUGGCUGCAUGACAGAGCCUCACAGCAGCAAAGGAGGUGUCAGUGCGGGGAAGGGAGAGGGUCUGAUCAGAUCCGAGCUCGGCCUCCGAGAACCUGGUUCGCUGCUGUCGCUCAUGGGUCCGGCGGGACACCAGGGCAGGGGCAGAGGCCUUGCUUAGCUUUCUACCACCUCGCAAGACCUGGGUCCACCCUAAGCGCCUGCCGGAUUUAGCCUCUGGUCAUUUCUCCGCCACCGAGCUUCCCGGCAUUGUGCCCUUCAUCUCUCCGGAAGGCUACUGCAGUUCCUGUCCUUCGAAUAGGUUUUGGUCUGUCUCUGCUCCCCGUCGACGUGUCUGCACUGUGCCGCCUGUUUCGUCUCCAGCUGUAGCUGUGCGUCCGUGACCGGCGUAGGUGUAGGGGCGGAUCUUGAGAGAGUGAGAGAGUGCCCUUUUCGUGGGCAUUUAGUCCCACAAUUUUUUGCCUUUGCGCGAUCAUCUGCAAAUUGGGGCUGGAUACUUGCUGAUCCAGCUCCAGGGUGCAAGCCACCUCCAGUUCAUGUCCUUCGCGCACGAGAGCUUGCUGUCCCAUUUUCAGCACCAGAUGCCAGAAUUUGCCUCCUUAUUCUAAUGAGCUCCACCACAUGAAGGAACUGGCAUGCAUGUGGCCGAAAAGCUAAUUGUAUUCUGCGUCGCGAUCUAAUUUCUGCAUUCCAAUAUUUUGACUAAUGUGCGUGGAAUCUGACAGCAACGCAGGCUGGAGGAUGUAGUAAACUAUUCCAUGGGUCCUACAGUGGUGGUCAUUUGUUUCUGCAGUCGCGAUUAAACUAGACAUUUCUUUCAUGUGUAUAUUUUACAAACACACCUGUACAUAUUAACUCACGGAAACUUAAUCCAACUUCUACAAAAACACCGAGAGACUAUUUCUAAUAAUGUUAGGUCCUCAGAAUGCAACGACCAUUUAACCUAGAAUGUUCACUAUCCUGAAAUUUUUGACUUCAGUAGUCACGAGUUUUUCCCCACAAACAGCAGAUAGAAGACUCAGGCUGGGCAUCCAAAUGAUAUGCUGUUCAUAAAUGAAUUCCAGAAGUAUAAAAAUACAGCAUGAACAGCUC